RNAcentral lists this ribosomal RNA (1372 nucleotides) under uncultured bacterium. Its description in RNAcentral is "bacterial SSU rRNA". It matches the Rfam family "Bacterial small subunit ribosomal RNA", at positions 28 to 1381 of the family's 1533-position model. The record is from RNAcentral.
GAUGAACGCUGGCGGCGUGCCUAAUACAUGCAAGUCGAGCGAACGGACGAGAAGCUUGCUUCUCUGAUGUUAGCGGCGGACGGGUGAGUAACACGUGGAUAACCUACCUAUAAGACUGGGAUAACUUCGGGAAACCGGAGCUAAUACCGGAUAAUAUUUUGAACCGCAUGGUUCAAAAGUGAAAGACGGUCUUGCUGUCACUUAUAGAUGGAUCCGCGCUGCAUUAGCUAGUUGGUAAGGUAACGGCUUACCAAGGCAACGAUGCAUAGCCGACCUGAGAGGGUGAUCGGCCACACUGGAACUGAGACACGGUCCAGACUCCUACGGGAGGCAGCAGUAGGGAAUCUUCCGCAAUGGGCGAAAGCCUGACGGAGCAACGCCGCGUGAGUGAUGAAGGUCUUCGGAUCGUAAAACUCUGUUAUUAGGGAAGAACAUAUGUGUAAGUAACUGUGCGCAUCUUGACGGUACCUAAUCAGAAAGCCACGGCUAACUACGUGCCAGCAGCCGCGGUAAUACGUAGGUGGCAAGCGUUAUCCGGAAUUAUUGGGCGUAAAGCGCGCGUAGGCGGUUUUUUAAGUCUGAUGUGAAAGCCCACGGCUCAACCGUGGAGGGUCAUUGGAAACUGGAAAACUUGAGUGCAGAAGAGGAAAGUGGAAUUCCAUGUGUAGCGGUGAAAUGCGCAGAGAUAUGGAGGAACACCAGUGGCGAAGGCGACUUUCUGGUCUGUAACUGACGCUGAUGUGCGAAAGCGUGGGGAUCAAACAGGAUUAGAUACCCUGGUAGUCCACGCCGUAAACGAUGAGUGCUAAGUGUUAGGGGGUUUCCGCCCCUUAGUGCUGCAGCUAACGCAUUAAGCACUCCGCCUGGGGAGUACGACCGCAAGGUUGAAACUCAAAGGAAUUGACGGGGACCCGCACAAGCGGUGGAGCAUGUGGUUUAAUUCGAAGCAACGCGAAGAACCUUACCAAAUCUUGACAUCCUUUGACAACUCUAGAGAUAGAGCCUUCCCCUUCGGGGGACAAAGUGACAGGUGGUGCAUGGUUGUCGUCAGCUCGUGUCGUGAGAUGUUGGGUUAAGUCCCGCAACGAGCGCAACCCUUAAGCUUAGUUGCCAUCAUUAAGUUGGGCACUCUAAGUUGACUGCCGGUGACAAACCGGAGGAAGGUGGGGAUGACGUCAAAUCAUCAUGCCCCUUAUGAUUUGGGCUACACACGUGCUACAAUGGACAAUACAAAGGGCAGCGAAACCGCGAGGUCAAGCAAAUCCCAUAAAGUUGUUCUCAGUUCGGAUUGUAGUCUGCAACUCGACUACAUGAAGCUGGAAUCGCUAGUAAUCGUAGAUCAGCAUGCUACGGUGAAUACGUUCCCGGGUCU